CUGCCGGCGACCGGCGCACGGGUGAGUAACACGUAUGCAACCUGCCCUCCGCAGGGGGAUAACCCGGAGAAAUCCGGACUAAUACCGCGUGGUACACCAGUUGGGCAUCCCACGGGUGUUAAAAGGAAGCGAUUCCGGCGGAGGAUGGGCAUGCGGCGCAUUAGCUUGUUGGCGGGGUAACGGCCCACCAAGGCGACGAUGCGUAGGGGUUCUGAGAGGAAGGUCCCCCACACUGGUACUGAGACACGGACCAGACUCCUACGGAAGGCAGCAG
This 274-nucleotide ribosomal RNA is filed under the name uncultured bacterium. RNAcentral's name for it is "partial 16S ribosomal RNA". It matches the Rfam family "Bacterial small subunit ribosomal RNA", at positions 85 to 354 of the family's 1533-position model. The record is from RNAcentral.